AUUGAACGCUGGCGGCAGGCCUAACACAUGCAAGUCGAGCGGCAGCGGAAAGUAGCUUGCUACUUUGCCGGCGAGCGGCGGACGGGUGAGUAAUGUCUGGGAAACUGCCUGAUGGAGGGGGAUAACUACUGGAAACGGUAGCUAAUACCGCAUAACGUCGCAAGACCAAAGAGGGGGACCUUCGGGCCUCUUGCCAUCAGAUGUGCCCAGAUGGGAUUAGCUAGUAGGUGGGGUAACGGCUCACCUAGGCGACGAUCCCUAGCUGGUCUGAGAGGAGGACCAGCCACACUGGAACUGAGACACGGUCCAGACUCCUACGGGAGGCAGCAGUGGGGAAUAUUGCACAAUGGGCGCAAGCCUGAUGCAGCCAUGCCGCGUGUAUGAAGAAGGCCUUCGGGUUGUAAAGUACUUUCAGCGGGGAGGAAGGUGCUGAGGUUAAUAACCUCAGCAAUUGACGUUACCCGCAGAAGAAGCACCGGCUAACUCCGUGCCAGCAGCCGCGGUAA
RNAcentral lists this ribosomal RNA (506 nucleotides) under uncultured bacterium. RNAcentral's name for it is "partial 16S ribosomal RNA". It matches the Rfam family "Bacterial small subunit ribosomal RNA", at positions 30 to 523 of the family's 1533-position model. The record is from RNAcentral.